CCUACGGGAGACUGCAGUGGGGAAUAUUGGUCAAUGGGCGAAAGCCUGACCCAGCAAUGCCGCGUGAAUGAAGAAGGUCUUAGGAGUGUAAAAUUUUGUCCUCUGGGGAGAAAAAAAUGACGGUACUCUAGGAGGAAGACUCGGCUAACUACGUGCCAGGAGUCGCGGCAAUACGGAGGGGGCGAGCAUUGUCCGGAAUUACUGGGCGUAAAGGGAGCGUGGGGGGCACUACAAGUCGCAUGUGAAAUACCCGGGCUUAACUUGGGGGUUGGAUGGGAAACUGUAGGGCUUGAGUACAGGGGAGGCACGCGGAAUUCCUAGUGUAGCGGUGAAAUGCAUAGAUAUUAGGAGGAACUC
RNAcentral lists this ribosomal RNA (357 nucleotides) under uncultured bacterium. RNAcentral describes it as "partial 16S ribosomal RNA". It matches the Rfam family "Bacterial small subunit ribosomal RNA", at positions 338 to 709 of the family's 1533-position model. The record is from RNAcentral.